GAUGAACGCUGGCGGCGUGCUUAACACAUGCAAGUCGAACGGAAAGGCCCAAGCUUGCUUGGGUCCUCGAGUGGCGAACGGGUGAGUAACACGUGGGUGAUCUGCCCUGCACUUCGGGAUAAGCCUGGGAAACUGGGUCUAAUACCGGAUAGGACCACAUUUUGGAUGGUGUGGUGGAAAGUUUUUCGGUGUGGGAUGAGCUCGCGGCCUAUCAGCUUGUUGGUGGGGUAAUGGCCUACCAAGGCGUCGACGGGUAGCCGGCCUGAGAGGGUGUACGGCCACAUUGGGACUGAGAUACGGCCCAGACUCCUACGGGAGGCAGCAGUGGGGAAUAUUGCACAAUGGGCGCAAGCCUGAUGCAGCGACGCCGCGUGGGGGAUGACGGCCUUCGGGUUGUAAACGCCUUUCGCUAGGGACGAAGCGUUAUGUGACGGUACCUGGAGAAGAAGCACCGGCUAACUACGUG
RNAcentral lists this ribosomal RNA (466 nucleotides) under uncultured bacterium. RNAcentral's name for it is "partial 16S ribosomal RNA". It matches the Rfam family "Bacterial small subunit ribosomal RNA", at positions 28 to 507 of the family's 1533-position model. The record is from RNAcentral.